Molecule: ribosomal RNA, 444 nt
Filed under: uncultured Pseudomonas sp.
Lineage: Bacteria; Pseudomonadati; Pseudomonadota; Gammaproteobacteria; Pseudomonadales; Pseudomonadaceae
Description: bacterial SSU rRNA
Rfam family: Bacterial small subunit ribosomal RNA
Source: RNAcentral
GUGGUUUAAUUCGAAGCAACGCGAAGAACUUACCAGGCCUUGACAUGCAGAGAACUUUCCAGAGAUGGAUUGGUGCCUUCGGGAACUCUGACACAGGUGCUGCAUUGGCUGUCGUCAGCUCGUGUCGUGAGAUGUUCGGGUUAAGUCCCGUAACGAGCGCAACCCUUGUCCUUAGUUACCAGCACGUUAAGGUGGGGCACUCUAAGGAGACUGCCGGUGACAAACCGGAGGAAGGUGGGGAUGACGUCAAGUCAUCAUGGCCCUUACGGCCUGGGCUACACACGUGCUACAAUGGUCGGUACAAAGGGUUGCCAAGCCGCGAGGUGGAGCUAAUCCCAUAAAACCGAUCGUAGUCCGGAUCGCAGUCUGCAACUCGACUGCGUGAAGUCGGAAUCGCUAGUAAUCGUGAAUCAGAAUGUCACGGUGAAUACGUUCCCGGGCCUU